This 400-nucleotide long non-coding RNA is filed under the name Homo sapiens (human). RNAcentral's name for it is "non-protein coding LINC01725:48". Lineage: Eukaryota; Metazoa; Chordata; Mammalia; Primates; Hominidae. The record is from RNAcentral.
UCAGAGGGUGGAGAACAUGAAAUUUCCUCUGGGUCCAUAUAUGCUUUACACUGUUAGUAGUUCUUGUUUCUUCAGCUGUUACAAGAAAUGGUUUAAAAUUCUGUCUUCCAAUCAGAUCACUUCUCAGGUGAGAUCCAGUUGGUUAAUGUCUCUCUUAAAGUUUAAACAAUGAUGACUUAUGAGUAAGUCUUGGGAAUUGUUCUGUUGAUUUCUUUUUUAAAAAAUAAAUUUUAUUGUAUAUAUUUAAAGUAAACAACAUGAUCUAAGAUAAAUACACAUAUACACACACAUAUACAUAUAUGUUAAAAUGGUUACUACAGUGGGACAAAUUCAUCAUCUUACAUAGUUACUCAUUUUUUUUUUUUUUUGCCCUGUGGCAUGCGCAGUUAUAGUCCAUUCA